Molecule: ribosomal RNA, 98 nt
Filed under: uncultured bacterium
Lineage: Bacteria
Description: 16S ribosomal RNA
Rfam family: Bacterial small subunit ribosomal RNA
Source: RNAcentral
GAGGAAUAUUGGUCAAUGGGCGAGAGCCUGAACCAGCCAAGUAGCGUGAAGGAUGACUGCCCUAUGGGUUGUAAACUUCUUUUAUAAGGGAAUAAAGU